RNAcentral lists this ribosomal RNA (440 nucleotides) under uncultured bacterium. RNAcentral's name for it is "partial 16S ribosomal RNA". It matches the Rfam family "Bacterial small subunit ribosomal RNA", at positions 338 to 795 of the family's 1533-position model. The record is from RNAcentral.
CCUACGGGCGUCAGCAGUAGGGAAUAUUGCUCAAUGGGGGAAACCCUGAUGCAGCAACGCCGCGUGGGGGAUGAAGGUUUUCGGAUUGUAAACUCCUUUUGUUAGAGAAGAUAAUGACGGUAUCUAACGAAUAAGCAACGGCUAACUCCGUGCCAGCAGCCGCGGUAAUACGGAGGGGGCAAGCGUUAUUCGGAAUCACUGGGCGGAAAGAGCGCGUAGGCGGGAUAGCAAGUCAGAUGUGAAAGCCUAUGGCUUAACCAUAGAACUGCAUUUGAAACUGUGAUUCUAGAGUAUAGGAGAGGUAGGUGGAAUUCUAGGUGUAGGGGUAAAAUCCGUAGAGAUCAAGAGGAAUACGCAUUGCGAAGGCGACCGGCUAGAACAUAACUGACGCUGAGGCGCGAAAGCGUGGGUAGCAAACAGGAUUAGAUACCCGUGUAGUC